This 415-nucleotide ribosomal RNA is filed under the name uncultured bacterium. RNAcentral's name for it is "bacterial SSU rRNA". It matches the Rfam family "Bacterial small subunit ribosomal RNA", at positions 362 to 774 of the family's 1533-position model. The record is from RNAcentral.
UAUUGGUCAAUGGGCGCGAGUCUGAACCAGCCAAGUAGCGUGAAGGAUGACUGCCCUAUGGGUUGUAAACUUCUUUUAUAUGGGAAUAAAGUUUUACACGCAUGGACUUUUGUAUGUACUAUAUGAAUAAGUAUCGGCUAACUCCUUUCCAGCAGCCGCGGUAAUACGGAGGAUCCGAGCGUUAUCCGGAUUUCUUGGGUUUAAAGGGAGCGUAGGUGGACAGUUAAGUCAGUUGUGAAAGUUUGCGGCUCAACCGUAAAAUUGCAGUUGAUACUGGCUGUCUUGAGUACAGUAGAGGUGGGCGGAAUUCGUGGUGUAGCGGUGAAAUGCUUAGAUAUCACGAAGAACUCCGAUUGCGAAGGCAGCUCACUGGACUGCAACUGACACUGAUGCUCGAAAGUGUGGGUAUCAAACA